UUUGAUUCUCUGUGCUUCGCUUUAUUGGUCUCAAGUGACUGAGAAAGUCAGUCAGUCAGGUGGGUCCGUCGCAGCUGCACCAAAAGGAUAAGGACAAAAUCUUCUGAAGGGUGCCAACACACACACACACACACACACACACACACUAGCAUUGAUGUGAGAAGCAGCCACUUUUCUUUGUGUUUGACUCACACACUGCACCACCUGCUAGGUAAAGACAUUUUUAAGAAAGGGUGAUAAUUCACUUCCCAGCUAUCCGUUCCUAUUUAGAUGACGGAGUUUUGAACUAUCAGAGCCGAGUAAAACCUGAGCAGAGAUUGACAGGUGAGGUGAUGGAUGUGCUGAAUGGAGGAGAACUGCUCAUUAAUGUUGGAUGAGAGUGAGCGAGGGUGCUACAGUACACAGCAAACAAAAGUCAAUUUCAGAAUAAAAGAGGAACCCGGGACAUGAAGUGUACACACGGCUGUCAGAUCCGACUUCCACUAGAGAAAACAUUCAUUAACUCUGAGAUUAUAAACUCUAAUUAUUUUAAUUUGCCUGCACUUUUGUCUCCCAAAUGUAGCCAGUUAUUAUGAUCCCCCUCUUACACACCCCACCUCCCCACAAACUGAGACUAGACUAGACCAUACCAACUCUGACAGUGUGGGAGGGGGCUCCUCUGCAGUGUCGUGACAACUGCAUCAGCUAGGUGACAUAAAAUCAGCUGAAUUUGAGUGGAGCAAGCCCAAGGCACUUUUGGGGUAAUUUAUAAAACCCCUCCAGACUGUCACGCUGUCAUCCAGUGAUUCACGCGAGGUUUCCCGACUGCUCUUCCCUCCUCGCCUCUCCUCCACCGGUGAGCCAGUCAGCAGAGGGAGCUGAACAAAGCCAUGGGAGAGAGAGAGCGAGAGGAGCUUCUAGGAAGAAAUGUCUCUCACUGACUCUGUCGCCUGGACAACCGGGUAAGAGAGGAGGGGAGGGUGCACAGAAGCGAGAGAGAGAAAGGAAAGAGGAGCAUAAAAGGAGAGAAAAACAACACAUUAUUAACUGCUGAGACAACAGGAUUCCUUUAGUGUAUUUGGGGGGCGGGAUGGGAAUGGAUUAGUCUGUCAUUUUCCUGUUGGGGGUUCCCUUGGUGUGUCUCUUUCUUGAUGAGUUAUUAACUCUGACAAUAAAGCAGUUUUUUUGUUCUUCUUCCACACCAGAGCAUGGAUGAGAUGAAAUUGCAGAGCACAAGUUCAGCACAUUACAAGUGGACCCUGCAGGCCUGAGCGCUUCACCUGUAAAUCUCUUCUCAUCAGGUGCCAGCAUGGAUGUGGAGGAUGAGCCGCUGCUGUUUCAGACCAGCUGGGGAGGCGAGGAAGAUGAUGAGGAGGAGGAGCAGGAGGAAGAAGAUGGAGUAGCACACGCAGCAGGACGGAGCUGUUUGUCUGGGGAAGUGUGUGGACUGUGGAGGGCGGUGGGGUGGGUGUACACUCAGCCCUGGGCCAGUGGAGUGGUUUUAGGGGUAGUUGUGUCACUACCCUGCGCCCUGUUUGCCUACAUGCUCCUCUACUGCCCUCCUCUGGACAUAGACCUGUCCUACAGUGCCUUCGAGGUUCACAGCCACUUCUCUGCUGAGCGCUUCGACGCCCUCACCAUCGCUGUAAAGACUCAGCUGGGGUCCUGGGACAGGCGUAGGAGAGACUUAGAUGACAGCGAGUCUGAGGAGCUGAGGGAGCUCCUCCUGGAGAGGCUGAGCAGACAGGGACUGUUCAACAGGACGGAUAAUGAGGGUGUGAGGUCCCCCACUCCUCAGAAAGAGCUUUUACAGGCAGCAGAUGAUCAGAGGAGAGGAGCCGCCGCGGGCACAGAUAAAAGGACAGUGCUAGAUAUGGGCCAGGAUGAAAUGGGGCAGCACAAAAACUCAAAUCAAAGAGCAGUGGACGAGGCGGAGAGAUCAUGGGAUGGAAAUAUCACUCGGCCGCUCAUCAGGAGGCGCAGGUUUGCUCCCAAUUACUACCUGCAGAGCCAGGCUCAGUGGAGGAUAGAGCUGGUGUUUGUGGCUCAGGGGGAGGGAGAUCUCAACAUCUUCACCCCUGAACGCCUGCAGACCAUUCACCAUGUGGAGCGCCUGCUCAUGCAGCAUCCACAGUUUCAUCAGUUCUGCUGGAAGCCUCUGGAGAUGUUGAGGGAUCUGCCGCUGGGACCCUCCUACUGCUCCCCACCCAGCUCCCUCCUGUCCUACCUAUACCCCAGUGAGAGAGGAGGGAAGAUCUACUACGAUGGCAUGGGCCCUGAUCUUGCUGAUAUUCAAGGGUCUCUGAGUCUGGCCAUCACCCACCCACAGUUCUACUGGUACGUGGAUGAGAGUCUGUCCCCCGAGCAUCUGUCCUCCUCUCUCUUACGCAGUGAGAUCCACUUCGGAGCUCCUCUCCCUUCCUUCUACUCCCUGCAGGACCGAGCUCACGAGCAGAGAUCACGCUUCAAAGACUUUGUGGUUCAGUAUGCAGACACCCUGGCCAAGCAAUCCACCAGCCAGGUGAAGGUGCUGUAUGGGGGGACGGAGCUGUUUGAUGAUGAGGUGAGACACACCUUCCACAAUGACAUGAUGCUGGCUGUCAUCAGUGGAGCCUGCAUUACUGUGCUCGUCUAUGUCCUCACCUCCUUUUCUGUGUUUCUGACUUUCUUUGGACUCACCAGCAUCGGACUGAGCUGCCUGAUGGCUCUUUUCUUGUACCAUGUUGUCUUUGGCGUGAGGUACCUGGGCAUUCUCAAUGGAGUUGCAGCCUUUGUUAUUAUUGGGAUUGGGGUGGAUGAUGUAUUCGUGUUCAUCAGCACCUUCCGACAGGCUUCCCAUCUGUGUCAGCCGCAGGAGCGAAUGAUCUACACAAUUAAAACAGCCGGCCGCGCUACUUUCCUCACCUCCUUCACCACCGCCGCUGCCUACGCUGCCAACACUUUCUCUCAGAUCCCGGCCGUGCAUGACUUCGGCCUAUUCAUGGCCCUCAUCGUGAGCUGCUGCUGGCUCUGGGUGUCCAUCCUGAUGCCUGCCGCCCUGUGCAUCUGGACUGAGAUUGUGCAGCCUCAGGAACACGCUUGGUUGAAUUGCUGGAAGCUGUUUCCCAGACUGUCAGCGAGCCACGGCCCUUUGUCAGAUGAGGAUGAUGAUGUGGCACUUCUAUCUGUGGAGAUGGAGCCAGGUUCCUGUGACACAGACGGUGAUGCAGCCAUUCUGUCCCUGUCAGUGGAGACACCUCUGUCUGCUCCCGGGCAGCAGCAUGUGGGUGUGGUGAGCACAAACCUCCGAUGGGCCCUAAAGCACUUAGCAGCAGAGCCAGCUGUGGAGCGACGGAAGUCUGUUCUCGGUGUCUUCCUCCUGGUUCUGCUCUUAUCUGCCGGCUGCUGCUGUUUCCUGAGGCCGGCCACUCACGCCCCCCUCCUCUUCCGCCGGGACACAAACCUCCAGACUCUGCUGGCUCUGAGGAGCAACCUCAGCGGGCAGGGCAUCUCCUGCCCCAUGUGCUCAGGUGUGUUCAUGGAAAAGCCCCAUCCUUUGUACACACACACUUCCUCCUCAGCAUUUAAGUUCUCUACACAUCAGCAGCAUCCGAGCACAACAAGCUCCAAUGCUCAUCGGACCUCAGUAAAACCAAACUCAAACACCAACCAAACGGACUCUUUACUCACAGUGUUCAUAUCAAAGUUGGACCUCGGCUCUUCGACAACCCUCUACCGCUUCUCCCUCAACACCAGCACCCCCUCCCCAUGGAAGCUGUGCAGCACAGAGCACGAACAGGUGUCAUCAUUCCAGGCUUAUAAUCAGCCCCGCCGCAAUUACACCAGCAGAAUGACAGUGUGUGUUUCCCAUGUGUACCACCCGUACCCCAGCUGGAUGAUCACAUCCACCUCGUGUGAACCCCGGCACGGGUGGAGCCCAGAGUUUUCCUUUUAUGUGGCACCGUCUGUGCAGCAGAGCAGCAGGAGAUUGUUCUUUGCACAGCGCCACCUGAGACCUCAUCCCAGCCGAGUGUGUGUCUAUCCGCCCGGCUGCGGCAUCAGUUCUGGGCCUGAUGGACCCACACAGGGAUCCUUUUAUAUUCCUCUUCCCAGCGAUCCCUCGUCUGCUGCCAAACUGAGGUCAUCCAAAACGUUUGGUUUCAACCCGUGCAGUGGUGGAGCAUGUGGCCGCCCGGCAGUGCGUCCUCUGGUGGACACCGGGGCCAUGGUGUUUGUUGUGUUUGGCAUCCUGGGAGUCAACCGGAGCGAGCAGAGGGACAACCACGUAAUCGGAGAUAUGGGCAGCAUCAUAUUGGACCCAGACUUCGAUGUGUUCCAGGAAAUGGAGCAUCUUUGCAAAAUGUGUAAAGCUAUAAGUGCAAACACACAGCUCGUGAAGCCCGGAGGAGCGCAGUGUUUACCUUCAGGUAAUAAGCUGUCUUCUGUUCUGCCUCUGCUCCACCCUGAGUGUCACUCCCUCCCCGAGCCCAACCUGCUCCCGGGGCAGCUCUCUCACGGAGCAGUGGGGAUGCACGGAGGCAAAGUCCGCUGGCUGUCCAUGGCCUUUGAGUCCACCACGUACAAGGGCAAGUCCUCCUUCCAGACCUACUCCGACUUCCUUCAAUGGGAGAACUUCAUCCGGGAGCAGCUCGCCUCUCUCCCACAAUCCUCUGCUCUGCAACGGGGCUUCCAGACCUGCGAGCACUGGAAGCAGAUCUUCAUGGAAAUCAUAGGAGUGGAGAGUGCCCUCUGGAGUCUGCUGCUGUCUCUGGCCAUCUGUGUGGCAGCUGUGUCCGUGUUCACCGCACAUCCUCUGCUGCUGCUCCCAGUGCUCAUCACCAUUCUCGGAGUGAUCUGUCUGGUGGUGGCCAUCAUGUAUUGGCUGGGCUGGGAGAUGGGAGCGGUGGAGGCGAUUUCUCUCUCCAUACUGGUGGGAUCCUCGGUGGAUUACUGUCUGCACCUGGUGGAGGGAUACCUGCUGGCUGGGGAGACCAUGAUCCCCAUGCCCGGUCAUAACUCGGAGCCCGGGGCCGAGAGGCAGAGGCGGACCCUGGAGGCCGUGAACCAUGUGGGCGUUGCCAUAGUGUCCAGCGCCGUCACCACGGUGAUCUCCACAGUCCCUCUCUUCUUCUGCGUCAUUGUGCCUUUCGCCAAGUUUGGCCAGAUAGUGGCCAUAAACACAGCCGUCUCCAUUUUCUUCACCCUGACCGUGACCGUGGCCAUGUUGGCGUGCGUGGCCCCCCCUCGCUUCUGCAGGCCCCCCGGUGCUGUGCUGAAGGCCAGCUUGGCCGUGAUGGCGGCGGCAGCCUUGGGAGCGGUUGUGUGCUGGGUGGGGGGGCAGUUUGGAGCACUGGCCUGGCAACCAAUCAGCACGUAAACACACAAUCGUCCGCCAACUCACACUGAUGUCACGCAGGGGAGUUCCUCUGUUAACCGAAAGCACUCAGAUCAGUAAAUGAUCUCUACAGCACAAAGAUGUUACAGUCCUUUAUUCGAAGCGGAGGUGGAGAUGAUUCAGUGAUCAUUGGGAAACGGAGGCUGAGUCACAGUUUUCAUUCGUGUAUCUCGUUGAGUUCUGAGGAACUGAUGACUGUUCUGUGACCUGUGAACACCGAUAGCCUGCUCUGACGUGUGUGUGUUAACACGGCCAUCCUGUGACCUUUCUCGUGUUUCAUCUUUUCCUCUUGAAUGUUGUUCAAGAUGUGGCUGGAUUAAAAGUUGUACUCGUCAAGUUUUUACCGUGCACAGUUCUGUGAUGUAAAUGUGUCAGUGAGCUGCUCUCACACAUUGUGAACUGAACUCUCUGCCAGCACACACACUUCUUCUUGAGACAUGUUUAUAUUUACACGCCCUUUUCCUUUUACGUUUAUAUCUUGGAGCUCAAGCUGCUUUCAAUCAGCUCCAAGGGAAAGAAACCUCGUCAGCUCCUCAGGUGUUCCCUCACAUCCUCCACUGCACUCACACACACUCACUGUAACACACUCUGCUCUCUUACAAACUAGAGUACCACUCUAACACCCAUCGACGCCGGCUCCAGUGUGCCCCGCAGUGAGGGCUAAGGGCCAUUUGUCAAGCCACAUAACACAAUAAUGGUUAAGGAGAGGGACUCAAUUGCAGCAAGCACAGUACAUUUUUGUGUGUGUGUGUGUGUGUGUGUGUGUGCGUGUGUGUGCGUGUGCGCGCGUGUGUGUUACUUGUGAAUGUCAAAUAAAACAAGUGCAGGAAGCCUCGGGUGUUUCCUUCUUGCUGUUUUCUUCUGCAUUGUUAUGUAACGGAGACCUUUCACUGUUCUCCUUCAGUCACUUUCUUUCUCUACUGGGAGAGCUACCGUACGCAGCAUCACAUCUCCAGUUGGCCGUCGUUAAUUAUUCAUGUGAAACGGCUCAGA
Eleginops maclovinus (Patagonian blennie) is the source of this 6346-nucleotide RNA transcript. It is a transcript of the gene named dispatched RND transporter family member 3, with no coding region annotated. The transcript is spliced from 22 exons. NCBI's taxonomy places the organism in Eukaryota, Metazoa, Chordata, Actinopteri, Perciformes, Eleginopidae. The record is from RefSeq and is a predicted model, not a curated record.